GAUGAAGAACGUAGCGAAAUGCGAUAAGUAAUGUGAAUUGCAGAAUUCAGUGAAUCAUCGAAUCUUUGAACGCAUCUUGCGCUCCUUGGUAUUCUCAGGAGCAUGCCUGUUUGAGUGUCAUUAAAUUCUCAACUACACUGACUUUGAAUUGGUGUGGCUUGGAUUUGGGGGGAAAAUUGUUGUGGGCUUUUUGUAUAGUCUGCUCCCCUGAAAUUGAUUAGCGGUACCUUUGUGGAACUGUCUACAGGUGUGAUAAUUAUCUACAUCUUAGACAUCUGCUGGAAUGCUGCUUUCUAAACCUUACUUGUAUUGACAAUCUUGACCUCAAAUCAGGUAGGACUACCCGCUGAACUUAAGCAUAUCAAUAAGCGGAGGA
RNAcentral lists this unclassified non-coding RNA (376 nucleotides) under soil metagenome. RNAcentral describes it as "partial contains 5.8S ribosomal RNA, internal transcribed spacer 2, and large subunit ribosomal RNA". The stretch from base 1 to 120 matches the Rfam family "5.8S ribosomal RNA", at positions 35 to 154 of the family's 154-position model. The record is from RNAcentral.